UAAUGGAAAAGUGGUUAUUUUUUCAUUUUUUGAAGCCAUUUCGUUCUUCCAGUUCAAAAAGUCACGUAUAUGUGUUAAUUUGGAGUGGUGAUCGGCUGCCGUGGCUGGAGAGUACAAAUCGAAGUCAUCAGUUUUCUGAGCUUUUCUCAGAAUUAUUCAUGAGAAUGUACUCUUAUGAUCCCAUCAUGCGCUGUUACGCAUGAGGUCAUCUUACAGCGGAGAAUUCAAAUCUUAUGAAAGAGCUUGUGCGCUUUCAGGUUAACAUGACACAUAUUUAAUAUGUAACCAUGUGUGGAGCGUGCAUGAGAGAGCAGUUUCUGCUCUGAACGCCGUGAGGAGUUUAACAACACUCGCUGCGUGGAUCGUAGUUCAUAUCUGGACUGGAGCAAGCGUGUUUCAAGUUUUUGUGAACAUUUCAUAUUCUCUCGUGCUCUAAACAUGAACCAGCACUGUGUAUGCACACAUUAUCAUGUCUUCUUCAUAUGUGCAAAUAAGGGCACUGAUUUCUAAUGUGAUGUCACUGAUGUCUAAACAUGACCGCAAUGACACGACGGAUUAUUGUGAUACACAGCAAACAAUGAUAUAGGCCAAAAAUUCAAAGAAUCCUCUCUGACUCUUUGUGUGUGUGUUUAGCUCCUUCUGCCAGUAGUCUGCUGCAGGGCCUCAGCCUCAGUCUGCAGGAGAUCAACACUAAAUCACCAGGCGUCCCCUCCACCACACAGGUGUGCGGAGCGAAGCCCCAGUGUCAGGGGCAGGUGUUGAGCUCGCUUAGCCCGGGUGGCAGCGGCACACUAGUGCGGGCGGUGCCGGUCGUGUCGACAGGAUCCGGGAUGACCAAAACCACAACUAUCCACCAUCUCCUCACCAACGGCGGCCUGGCCAAACUAGCCCAUAGUCUGCCAGGACUGGCCCACGUCUCCAGUCAGAGCACGGGACUCAAAGUUCCCACCACUAUCACGGUGACGCUGCGCGGGCAGCCCAGCAGGAUUCCCGCUCUCAGCCACACGGGGAUGCCAGCGCCCGCUCACAGCGCACCGGACAACCAGGACUUCGAGGACUUUUCCAGGACAUUUUUAAUUUAAUUACAGCUGGAAUAAAAGACAAGGAUCACGCUCUAAAUGACCAGAAACUCUGAAAUGGACGAUAUGAAGCUGAAAUGGCCAUCAGUCACACAUCCAAUGAGCAUCCAAAAGCAUUAACAGAUGAACCGAGAGGAAUCAAAGGAAGAAACCCGGUUUAAAGACUAUCUUAAAGUCUGCUGAUUUACCAUACGACCUGCAAAAGCGCCAUCUAUAGACACUUUCUUGCACGUGGACUGAAAACUUGACUUUACACUUCAUUUGUCUAUUUUGUUUAUUAUUAUUAUUUCCCUUAUUCUGUUAUACUCUGGUUGUACAGCAUCAUGGGUAAUUUAUUGGAAAAUACACUGUUAUUAUUCUUAACAGUUUUAACAGUCUUUCCAUCUAUUUCAUAAAAAUGUUUCGUCAAUAUAGAAUUUUUGAUUCGUUUAAUUUUUGCCAGAAAGGUUUGGUGUUAAAAUUUUUGCACAGAACCCCAGCAGAGCCUGAGCUUUAUUUCCUCAUAACCAUAAAGAGCAAAAGAAAAAUGCAUCAUUAAACUGUCAAAAUACUGAUAAUAAAUUCAAGAUAUUUAAAAGACGACAUGAGAGUUUUUUUAAUUGAUUUUCCCCCGACAUUUUGUAUAUCCUCUGUCUUUUAGAUUAAUCAUGCGUCAGUCUUUCCUCACGACAUCAGGAUAGCUGUCCUUCAAAUAACCGUUAUAAUUAUGCCAACAGGGAUAAUAAUGUGUCUGCCUGAUUAAGUCACAAUUGUUUUGAUUGCUGACUGUUUUUAUUGCCCCUAAUGAGGGAAACUAGUGGAGGUUGACAAGCAUGAAGCGGAAUGGUAGACACGGAUUAAAGGGGUCAUAUGAUGUUGCUAAAAAGAACAUUAUUU
RNA transcript from Sinocyclocheilus rhinocerous, 1955 nucleotides. It is a transcript of the gene named KAT8 regulatory NSL complex subunit 3-like, with no coding region annotated. Lineage: Eukaryota; Metazoa; Chordata; Actinopteri; Cypriniformes; Cyprinidae. The transcript is spliced from 5 exons. The record is from RefSeq and is a predicted model, not a curated record.